Lynx canadensis (Canada lynx) is the source of this 472-nucleotide long non-coding RNA. RefSeq lists it as uncharacterized. The record is from RefSeq and is a predicted model, not a curated record. Lineage: Eukaryota; Metazoa; Chordata; Mammalia; Carnivora; Felidae. The transcript has 3 exons.
CUUUCCUCCCUUUCUUACUUUCAUUCAACAACAACAACAAAAAAAAACAAACAAAAAAAAGGCCCCGGGUUCGGAAGCUGCAAGAUUCUUGAGAAUGAGGAGGAAGGCGGUUUACUAUGGGCAUCGAUGGAGGAUCUUGAAAGUUUAAAUGAAAGAGUAACAGUGCAGAGCAGAGAGGAAGAUGGGGAAAGCGAUUUUAAAUGCCUUACUCUUUCCCGGAGGGUUUCCCUGAAGGCUUGCUUUUCGUUGGCCCUUCUGUGGUUUCUAACGGAGACUAAAGGGUCAGAGCCACGAACUCUGAUUUACACGUCCAAGUGAGAAAGCUGCAAACAGUGCCAGCCGUCCAUCCUCUGGAAAGCACUUGAACAAGCCUGUGAAGCCUUCAUUUCAGGGACACAUGAAGACCAAGGCCGUCUGCAAGCCAGGAGGAGAACUCUCCUCAGAACCCGACCACCUGUGGCAUUCUGAUCUG